UACAGAGGUCCCAAGCGUUGUUCGGAUUCACUGGGCGUAAAGGGUGCGUAGGCGGUCGGGUAAGUUUGAUGUGAAAUCUCACAGCUUAACUGUGAAACUGCAUUGGAUACUAUUCGGCUUGAGAGUUGGAGGGGGGACUGGAAUUCUUGGUGUAGCAGUGAAAUGCGUAGAUAUCAAGAGGAACACCAGUGGCGAAGGCGAGUCCCUGGACAACUUCUGACGCUGAGGCACGAAAGCUAGGGGAGCAAACAGG
Molecule: ribosomal RNA, 253 nt
Filed under: uncultured bacterium
Lineage: Bacteria
Description: partial 16S ribosomal RNA
Rfam family: Bacterial small subunit ribosomal RNA
Source: RNAcentral